GCCGGCCAAGCUCCAACUUCCAACCGCGCGCUCGCCAUGGACCAUCGGCUGCUGCUCCUCGUCCUCCUCGCGGCAGCCUCGUGCGUCAACGUCGCCGUGACCGAAGCGCCGUGCCCUGUCGCAUUCUCCGCCUUCUCCAUGUGGGUUCUCGCCUUCGCCGCGCUCGCUGUGCUCCUCCCGCGCCGCGGCGCCGAGUGAAGAGGUCGCGACCGGCUGCCGUCAGCGUCCACGCCCUGCAAUCGAUGAGAUGAUGGCGUGGCCAUGGCGGCAGCCGGCGUUCGAUCUCUUCAAAAUCCCACUCUCCAGUUCCCGCAUGCAUGGAUUCCACGCACUUCUGUUUGAGGCAGGACUGGAACUUCUAUCCAGUUCCGUCCAGUCACUCCAAGUACUACAUUGAGUCCUCAUAUUUAAGGCAGGUAUGGUCCACCUGUCAGAGACUGAUCUAGUGGGUCGUUGGAGUUGGAGGUAAGUACUUCUCCAGUUUGGAAAGAAAUGGACAGGUCAAAUAGUCUUCCAGUGCUCCAAUGACCAAUGGUGUGUAAAAAAAAUCAGUCAAAACUCUAUUAGAAACUCUAUUUCUAGAACCACUGGUCCUGUACUCCAAUAUAUAUAUCCAUGUACUCCACUAUUGUAUAUCUGCGUAUAUUGGAAUAAUAAAGUGCUUGUACCCUUA
Molecule: long non-coding RNA, 673 nt
Organism: Phragmites australis (common reed)
Lineage: Eukaryota; Viridiplantae; Streptophyta; Magnoliopsida; Poales; Poaceae
Exons: 2
Source: RefSeq, a predicted model, not a curated record